UUAACUCAAAUUUGUAUGGAGUUGGAACGUUUGCUUACGUUUGCCGCUAGAGGCGCUGUUCCAGUUGCAUAGAAAUUUGAGUUA
RNAcentral lists this microRNA precursor (84 nucleotides) under Bombyx mori (domestic silkworm). Its description in RNAcentral is "mir-2807 microRNA precursor family". It matches the Rfam family "mir-2807 microRNA precursor family". Lineage: Eukaryota; Metazoa; Arthropoda; Insecta; Lepidoptera; Bombycidae. The record is from Rfam by way of RNAcentral.